CACAAGUUGAGCCCUUGUGCCAUGGGUGGGUGUGCACCUCCUCUGCAGUGCUGAUGUGUGCAUUUCUGCCAGACAGAAGUUAUCUAUUUGUUCGACGCGGGCAAUACCACCACCACCCCCAGAGCUGGGAGCUGCUCGCUCCAUCCCUGCUCCUGGGCAGCCUGAUGGUGCAGCUCCUGCCCAGGUCCAUGCUUUGACAGUAGCCACUUCCCAGGAGCCUUUCCCAACAAAAGGGCCAUUUAGCUGCUGCUGCUUCCAGUCUGAGAACAUCAGAUACUUCUUCAGGCAUCAGAAGGGCUUUACACAAAUCACAACAAUGUAUGAAGAGAUGGAAAUUCUUAGACUACGGCAGUGCACUAUGGCUGGGAAGG
Molecule: long non-coding RNA, 371 nt
Organism: Gallus gallus (chicken)
Lineage: Eukaryota; Metazoa; Chordata; Aves; Galliformes; Phasianidae
Source: Ensembl